GGAGAAAACCGUGGCACUGCACUUCUGAGAAAGCUGAAGUUUUAUAUAGCACCAAAAUAUUGAAUGUCAGGCCACUUUGAACUGUGAGAUCAAGACUGGAUUAGACAGAAACCCCAACAAUCCCCUAUGAGGAUGGUGAGAAGAGAGAGGGAGACCGUGGUGAGAAGGAAAUCUCUUUUCAUGAACAGAAGAUCCCAGAAGUGACCAGUUUGGGGGUGAGGAGGAAGAGAAAACAAACAGAGAAUGGGAUGUUUUUUUUUUUGUUUUAUCUUACCAUUAUGAAAGAAGUAAAACUUUUAUUUCUUGUGCUUUUGAAUUGACAGACUUAG
Long non-coding RNA from Astatotilapia calliptera (eastern happy), 329 nucleotides. The record is from Ensembl. Lineage: Eukaryota; Metazoa; Chordata; Actinopteri; Cichliformes; Cichlidae.